This 596-nucleotide long non-coding RNA is filed under the name Anser cygnoides (Swan goose). Its description in RNAcentral is "lncRNA (ENSACDG00005012959.1)". Lineage: Eukaryota; Metazoa; Chordata; Aves; Anseriformes; Anatidae. The record is from RNAcentral.
UCAGUGUCUUGUGCUGGAAGGAUAUUCCCCUGACAGUGUGGUACAUGAUACUGCACAGAUAUGUAAGGUCAUCACGAAGGGCACAUCUGAGCAAUAAGCUGUCAAGGAAAGAGUAUGGAAUUUGCCUCUGAAUUCUGAAGGCAUCCUGGACACAGUGUCAAGGUGACUCAAAGUCACAUGCAGUUUGAUCAAGUGUCACAGCAUCUUAAUUUGACUGAGAGGGAUGACAUAUGAAACGGACUUAAUAUUUCCAGUUUGACUGUCUUAUUGUAGAUGUUGGUUCCACAAUUUGGUAUUUUGACCCUGUUUUUUUCCCCAGUUCAGGGAGAAUAUCCAAUGGAAAGUUCAUCGCCUUCAAACUCCCCACAUUCUCCCUUGCCUUUCAUUUCUUCCAUACAGGACAUUUUAAUACAUGGGAUAAAUUGACACAUACCUCAUAUUCAGCUUUGGUAUUUUAUUCACAUUAUCACAUGUGCAGGACAUAAAGAGACAUUCCAUCUGUAUGGUUACUUUCUCUGACAUGGCUGCGGCGAGUACCUGAGAAUGCUUCUUAUACCAAUUAUAUAAACUAUUUCUUUUUAUCACACUAAAUCAUC